RNAcentral lists this transfer RNA (73 nucleotides) under Microbacteriaceae bacterium. It matches the Rfam family "tRNA". From Rfam's summary of the family: Transfer RNA (tRNA) molecules are approximately 80 nucleotides in length. Their secondary structure includes four short double-helical elements and three loops (D, anti-codon, and T loops). The record is from Rfam by way of RNAcentral. Lineage: Bacteria; Bacillati; Actinomycetota; Actinomycetes; Micrococcales; Microbacteriaceae.
GCCUCCGUAGCUCAGGGGAUAGAGCAGGACCCUUCUAAUGUCUUGGUCGCAGGUUCGAAUCCUGCCGGGGGCA